AGAAUUCUAAUCUAAGCACUCAGGAUCAUGAGAACAUCAUUGUGGCCAUUGCUCCUCUUCUGGAAAACAACCACCCACCACCUGACCUGUGUGAGUUCUUCUGUAAGCACUGUCGGGAGCGGCCGCGUUCAAUGGUUGUUAUUGAGGUGUUCACUCCUGUGGUCCAGAGAAUCCUCAAACAUAACAUGGUGAGAAGGGC
Long non-coding RNA from Xiphias gladius (swordfish), 199 nucleotides. RefSeq lists it as uncharacterized. The record is from RefSeq and is a predicted model, not a curated record. Lineage: Eukaryota; Metazoa; Chordata; Actinopteri; Istiophoriformes; Xiphiidae. The transcript is spliced from 3 exons.